This 253-nucleotide ribosomal RNA is filed under the name uncultured bacterium. RNAcentral's name for it is "partial 16S ribosomal RNA". It matches the Rfam family "Bacterial small subunit ribosomal RNA", at positions 524 to 776 of the family's 1533-position model. The record is from RNAcentral.
UACGUAGGCAGCGAGCGUUGUUCGGAAUUACUGGGCGUAAAGAGUGUGUAGGUGGUGCUCUAAGUUUGGUGUGAAAUCUCCCGGCUCAACCGGGAGGGUGCAUCGAAAACUGGAGUGCUAGAGGAUGGGAGAGGCAAGCGGAAUUCCUGGUGUAGCGGUGAAAUGCGUAGAUAUCAGGAGGAACACCUGUGGUGUAGACAGCUUGCUGGACCAUUUCUGACGCUGAGACACGAAAGCGUGGGUAGCAAACAGG